This 491-nucleotide ribosomal RNA is filed under the name uncultured Sphingobacteriales bacterium. RNAcentral describes it as "bacterial SSU rRNA". It matches the Rfam family "Bacterial small subunit ribosomal RNA", at positions 889 to 1382 of the family's 1533-position model. The record is from RNAcentral. Lineage: Bacteria; Pseudomonadati; Bacteroidota; Sphingobacteriia; Sphingobacteriales.
CCCGCUCAGAACUUAAAGGAAGUUGACGGGGCCGCACAAGCGGAGGAGCAUGUGGUUAAUUCGAUGAUACGCGAGGAACCUUACCUGGGCUCGAACGUAAGAUGACUGUAGGUGAAAGCUUACAUCUCUUCGGAGCAUUUUACGAGGUGCUGCAUGGUUGUCGUCAGCUCGUGCCGUGAGGUGUCGGGUUAAGUCCCAUAACGAGCGCAACCCCUACCUUUAGUUGCCAUCAGGUAAUGCUGGGGACUCUAAAGGAACUGCCUACGCAAGUAGUGAGGAAGGCGGGGAUGACGUCAAAUCAGCACGGCCCUUACGUCCAGGGCUACACACGUGCUACAAUGGCCGAUACAGAGGGCAGCUACCUGGUGACAGGAUGCAAAUCUCCAAAGUCGGUCUCAGUUCGGAUCGGAGUCUGCAACCCGACUCCGUGAAGUUGGAUUCGCUAGUAAUCGCGCAUCAGCCAUGGCGCGGUGAAUACGUUCCCGGGCCUU